GACGAACGCUGGCGGCGUGCUUAACACAUGCAAGUCGAACGGAAAGGCCCUGCUUUUGUGGGGUGCUCGAGUGGCGAACGGGUGAGUAACACGUGAGUAACCUGCCCUUGACUUUGGGAUAACUUCAGGAAACUGGGGCUAAUACCGGAUAGGAGCUCCUGCUGCAUGGUGGGGGUUGGAAAGUUUCGGCGGUUGGGGAUGGACUCGCGGCUUAUCAGCUUGUUGGUGGGGUAGUGGCUUACCAAGGCUUUGACGGGUAGCCGGCCUGAGAGGGUGACCGGCCACCUUGGGGCUGGGAUACGGCCCAGAACCCUACGGGAGGCAGGCGUGGGGAAUAUUGCACAAUGGGCGGAAGCCUGAUGCAGCAACGCCGCGUGCGGGAUGACGGCCUUCGGGUUGUAAACCGCUUUCGCCUGUGACGAAGCGUGAGUGACGGUAAUGGGUAAAGAAGCACCGGCUAACUACGUG
RNAcentral lists this ribosomal RNA (468 nucleotides) under uncultured bacterium. RNAcentral describes it as "partial 16S ribosomal RNA". It matches the Rfam family "Bacterial small subunit ribosomal RNA", at positions 28 to 507 of the family's 1533-position model. The record is from RNAcentral.